GACUACCAGGGUAUCUAAUCCUGUUUGCUCCCCACGCUUUCGUGCCUCAGUGUCAGUUACAGUCCAGAAAGCCGCCUUCGCCACUGGUGUUCCUCCUAAUAUCUACGCAUUUCACCGCUACACUAGGAAUUCCGCUUUCCUCUCCUGCACUCAAGUCUCACAGUUCGCAAGGCUUACUAUGGUUGAGCCAUAGCCUUUCACCCCGCGCUUACAAAACCACCUACGCACUCUUUACGCCCAAUAAUUCCGGAUAACGCUCGCCCCCUACGUAUUACCGCGGCUGCUGGCACGUAGUUAGCCGGGGCUUCCUCCAAGGGUACCGUCAUUUUUUUCUUCCCCAAGGACAGAGCUUUACGACCCAAAGGCCUUCAUCGCUCACGCGGCGUUGCUGCAUCAGGCUUUCGCCCAUUGUGCAAUAUUCCCCACUGCAGCCCCCCGUAGG
RNAcentral lists this ribosomal RNA (442 nucleotides) under uncultured Anaerovorax sp. Its description in RNAcentral is "partial 16S ribosomal RNA". The record is from RNAcentral. Lineage: Bacteria; Bacillati; Bacillota; Clostridia; Peptostreptococcales; Anaerovoracaceae.